CUACGGGAGGCAGCAGGCGCGAAACCUUUUCAAUGCACGAAAGUGUGAGAAGGGAAUUCCAAGUGCUCAAGUUUUACUUGGGCUUUUGCCAAGUGUAAAUAGCUUGGCGAAUAAGGGGUGGGUAAGACUGGUGCCAGCCGCCGCGGUAACACCAGCGCCUCAAGUGGGGAUCGCGAUUAUUGGGUCUAAAGCGUCCGUAGCAGGCCUUGUAAAUGCUUUGUGAAAUCGGCAGGCAUAACCUGUCGGCGUGCAGAGUAGACUGCAGAGCUCGAGACCGGGAGAGGUCAGAAGUAUUCCUAGGGUACCGGUAAAAUGGGUUAAUCCUGGGAGGACUACCGAUGGCGAAGGCAUCUGACCAGAACGGUUCUGACUGUGAGGGACGAAAGCUAGGGGAGCAAAACGGAUUAGAUACCCUUGUAGUC
Molecule: ribosomal RNA, 422 nt
Filed under: uncultured archaeon
Lineage: Archaea
Description: partial 16S ribosomal RNA
Rfam family: Archaeal small subunit ribosomal RNA
Source: RNAcentral